AACUCGUGGUGGAAGGCAAGGUGCGCUACAUCGGAAAUUCGCAGUUUUCGGGGGAGCAAAUUGCACAAGCCGGUCGCAUCAGCCGCGAGUUG
This 92-nucleotide transfer RNA is filed under the name freshwater metagenome. RNAcentral describes it as "tRNA-Ala". The record is from RNAcentral.